This 1951-nucleotide ribosomal RNA is filed under the name human gut metagenome. RNAcentral's name for it is "bacterial LSU rRNA". It matches the Rfam family "Bacterial large subunit ribosomal RNA", at positions 1 to 1977 of the family's 2925-position model. The record is from RNAcentral.
UUAAGCGACUAAGCGUACACGGUGGAUGCCCUGGCAGUCAGAGGCGAUGAAGGACGUGCUAAUCUGCGAAAAGCGUCGGUAAGGUGAUAUGAACCGUUAUAACCGGCGAUGUCCGAAUGGGGAAACCCAGUGCAAUUCGUUGCACUAUCGUUAACUGAAUACAUAGGUUAACGAGGCGAACCGGGGGAACUGAAACAUCUAAGUACCCCGAGGAAAAGAAAUCAACCGAGAUUCCCCCAGUAGCGGCGAGCGAACGGGGAGCAGCCCGGAGUCUGAAUCAGCUUGUGUGUUAGUGGAAGCGUCUGGAAAGUCGCAGGGUACAGGGUGAUACUCCCGUACACUAAAACACACAGGUUGUGAACUCGAAGAGUAGGGCGGGACACGUGGUAUCCUGUCUGAAUAUGGGGGGACCAUCCUCCAAGGCUAAAUACUCCUGACUGACCGAUAGUGAACCAGUACCGUGAGGGAAAGGCGAAAAGAACCCCGGCGAGGGGAGUGAAAAAGAACCUGAAACCGUGUACGUACAAGCAGUAGGAGCCCACUAGUUGGGUGACUGCGUACCUUUUGUAUAAUGGGUCAGCGACUUAUAUUCUGUAGCAAGGUUAACCGUAUAGGGGAGCCGCAGGGAAACCGAGUCUUAACUGGGCGUUAAGUUGCAGGGUAUAGACCCGAAACCCGGUGAUCUAGCCAUGGGCAGGUUGAAGGUUGGGUAACACUAACUGGAGGACCGAACCGACUAAUGUUGAAAAAUUAGCGGAUGACUUGUGGCUGGGGGUGAAAGGCCAAUCAAACCGGGAGAUAGCUGGUUCUCCCCGAAAGCUAUUUAGGUAGCGCCUCGUGAAUUCAUCUUCGGGGGUAGAGCACUGUUUCGGCUAGGGGGUCAUCCCGACUUACCAACCCGAUGCAAACUACGAAUACCGAAGAAUGUUAUCACGGGAGACACACGGCGGGUGCUAACGUCCGUCGUGAAGAGGGAAACAACCCAGACCGCCAGCUAAGGUCCCAAAGUCAUGGUUAAGUGGGAAACGAUGUGGGAAGGCCCAGACAGCCAGGAUGUUGGCUUAGAAGCAGCCAUCAUUUAAAGAAAGCGUAAUAGCUCACUGGUCGAGUCGGCCUGCGCGGAAGAUGUAACGGGGCUAAACCAUGCACCGAAGCUGCGGCAGCGACACUAUGUGUUGUUGGGUAGGGGAGCGUUCUGUAAGCCGUUGAAGGUGGCCUGUGAGGGUUGCUGGAGGUAUCAGAAGUGCGAAUGCUGACAUAAGUAACGAUAAUGCGGGUGAAAAACCCGCACGCCGGAAGACCAAGGGUUCCUGUCCAACGUUAAUCGGGGCAGGGUGAGUCGACCCCUAAGGCGAGGCCGAAAGGCGUAGUCGAUGGGAAACAGGUUAAUAUUCCUGUACUUGGUGUUACUGCGAAGGGGGGACGGAGAAGGCUAUGUUGGCCGGGCGACGGUUGUCCCGGUUUAAGCAUGUAGGCGGAUGUUCCAGGUAAAUCCGGAACGUCACUAACGCUGAGGUGUGAUGACGAGGCACUACGGUGCUGAAGUGACAAAUGCCCUGCUUCCAGGAAAAGCCUCUAAGCAUCAGGUAACAUCAAAUCGUACCCCAAACCGACACAGGUGGUCAGGUAGAGAAUACCAAGGCGCUUGAGAGAACUCGGGUGAAGGAACUAGGCAAAAUGGUGCCGUAACUUCGGGAGAAGGCACGCUGAUGGUAGGUGAAGUGACUUGCUCAUGGAGCUGAAAUCAGUCGAAGAUACCAGCUGGCUGCAACUGUUUAUUAAAAACACAGCACUGUGCAAACACGAAAGUGGACGUAUACGGUGUGACGCCUGCCCGGUGCCGGAAGGUUAAUUGAUGGGGUUAUCCUCGCGGAGAAGCUCUUGAUCGAAGCCCCGGUAAACGGCGGCCGUAACUAUAACGGUCCUAAGGUAGCGAAAUUCCUUGUCGGGU